UGUAGUAAUCUUUAAAUCAGAUAACAAUGGAACGUGGCCUAAGUUCAAGGAGGAUUCUUUUAAAGACUACAGUGGAUUCGAGUUUGACUCCGUCGACGGGGUGGAGUUUGUAGACUGCAUAAAAGGAGAAGCAUGCGUACCUAAUCCCUGUCUGAAUGGAGGCUCUUGUAUCAGGAACGCAACCUCGUACUUCUGCCAAUGCGUGGGUCCCUGGACUGGAUGGAAUUGUAAUGAUGAAUCAUCAAAUCUUGACGACAUCUUUUGGUCGACGAAUCACAGCAUCACGGUCAUCACAAACACGAACCUUGAUCACGAAGAACAGUACUCUCACCAGGUUUUACUGAAGUUUUACAAGAUUUACGAUAGAGACAACCCUACAUUCGUCGUU
Strongylocentrotus purpuratus (purple sea urchin) is the source of this 388-nucleotide long non-coding RNA. RefSeq lists it as uncharacterized. NCBI's taxonomy places the organism in Eukaryota, Metazoa, Echinodermata, Echinoidea, Camarodonta, Strongylocentrotidae. The transcript is spliced from 3 exons. The record is from RefSeq and is a predicted model, not a curated record.